This 90-nucleotide non-coding RNA is filed under the name Pseudomonas baetica. Lineage: Bacteria; Pseudomonadati; Pseudomonadota; Gammaproteobacteria; Pseudomonadales; Pseudomonadaceae. The record is from RNAcentral.
UGUGGGAGCGGGCUUGCUCGCGAAUGCGGUGUUUCAGUCAAUGAAUGAGUCAACUGACACACCGCAUUCGCGAGCAAGCCCGCUCCCACA